This is a non-coding RNA of Struthio camelus australis, 452 nucleotides long. The record is from RefSeq and is a predicted model, not a curated record. Lineage: Eukaryota; Metazoa; Chordata; Aves; Struthioniformes; Struthionidae.
AGAUGGAAUGCCUCUUGCUUCACCUGUGACCGUACAGGGAUGCUAUACAAGACUGUGUUGGGUGUUUGCUAAAGCCAGGGAUAGACCUGUUGAUCCUGCUACUCUACUUCAUAUAACUCACUCCCACCUCUUAAAAUCUUUGACCACCACCACUGCACAGUGAAACUGUCUGGGGUGUGGGGAUUGCAACGUGAAAACUAUACGGAAAACAACUAAUGAAGGAAAUCUAACAACUUCAAGAGGAACUUGAGCGAUGGGUUGUCAAGAAGCAGCUAUGAUGACCGCAACACUGUUGUUCAUGUCUAUCAUGGAUAUAAAUGUGAAAUCUGAAUCAGCAACUGAAACCUGUGACAGAUAUGAAUCAAAAACAUGAAACCUCAUUCACCAUCAACAGUACAAUUAUCCUUGAGCUGUAGGAGAUUAAUCUUCGACUACUGCUAUACUUAUUUUCU